UCAAAGCUGCAGGGCAGGAGCCUGCUGGUCGUCAAGCUGCCUGUCAAUAGGUGUGCACAUAGCAACUCGAGUUGACCUCAUUUAUCCUCUUCAAAAACAUUCUGGCUGCAGGAAGCUCUUGCUCUCACAAGUCUACAUGAAAAACUC
Molecule: long non-coding RNA, 147 nt
Organism: Lepidothrix coronata (blue-crowned manakin)
Lineage: Eukaryota; Metazoa; Chordata; Aves; Passeriformes; Pipridae
Exons: 3
Source: RefSeq, a predicted model, not a curated record